CAUCUGACAGACAAAAAGGUUUCAUCAAAGACACACAGACAGCUCCUGAAGUAAAGGACCUACACAGGACCUUCAUAUCAAGGACAUUGACUGUGUGGAUCUCGAGGUGCAGUUACCCAAAAGUUGCUACCCACGGAAUACCAGGUUUUGAGGGAUCCUGCCAGAGCAGAGAAUCAACAGAUACAUUGAAGAGGAGACUCCGACAUGACCGCCGGCAUCUUGUGUUAUUCACCCCCACCACUUGUAAUACUGAAUGCCUGAAUUGUUGUUUGUUGCUCAUUCUUUGUCAACAGAUAUGGUCUUCGACAUGUUACCCUUAGGUGUGGAAACAGAUUGUGACAGUCCAGCAAAAUGAGCCAGACAGAUAGUAACACUGAAAAAGGACAACAUUGUUCCCAUGGCCUCCCACUGCAGAAGACUACAGACGUUCA
Molecule: long non-coding RNA, 431 nt
Organism: Engraulis encrasicolus (European anchovy)
Lineage: Eukaryota; Metazoa; Chordata; Actinopteri; Clupeiformes; Engraulidae
Exons: 3
Source: RefSeq, a predicted model, not a curated record